This is a long non-coding RNA of Lolium rigidum, 725 nucleotides long. RefSeq lists it as uncharacterized. NCBI's taxonomy places the organism in Eukaryota, Viridiplantae, Streptophyta, Magnoliopsida, Poales, Poaceae. The transcript has 2 exons. The record is from RefSeq and is a predicted model, not a curated record.
GCAACAACACAUUCGGCAACGGCAACAGCCGCCAAGGCGGCAACGGCGGCAGUGGAGGCUACUUCAACGGCAGCGGUGGCGGCUACGGCCACUCCAACAACAACAACAAGCCUUGCUGCCAACUGUGCGGGAAGGCUGGGCACACCGCGCUCAAGUGCUGGGAACGUUUCAACGUCAACUUCACUGGCGUGGAAGAGAAAAGCGCUGGGUCGGCCUCCACUUCCUACGGCGUUGAUACUAACUGGUAUCUCGACUCCGGCGCCACCGACCACAUCACCGGAGACCUCAACAAGCUGACGAUCCGCGACCGCUACAACGGCAACGAACAGGUCCACACUGCCAGUGGAACAGGAUCGGGAAUCGAAGAAGGUUCUUCUUCAAGGCAGAUGUAGGAACGGACUUUACCCUGUCCUACCCUCUUCGUCCAACUCAAGCAGGAGCGUCUACAGUGCCAUCAAGCCCUCUUCGGAACGGUGGCAUUAUCGAUUAGGUCAUCCUUCGUCGACCAUAGUUAAACAAGUCAUUAGCCAGAAUAAUCUCCCUUGUUCGAGUGAGUCAAAUAAAUUUUCCGUGUGUGAUGCAUGCCAAAAAGGCAAGAGUCAUCAGCUUCCCUACCCAAAGUCUUUUAGUGAAUCUAGUGCUCCUUUAGAGCUUGUGUUUUCCGAUGUUUGGGGUCCUGCUGUCGAGUCUGUUGGACGCAAAAAAUAUUAUGUCAGUUUUAUCGA